Molecule: ribosomal RNA, 472 nt
Filed under: uncultured Cellulomonas sp.
Lineage: Bacteria; Bacillati; Actinomycetota; Actinomycetes; Micrococcales; Cellulomonadaceae
Description: bacterial SSU rRNA
Rfam family: Bacterial small subunit ribosomal RNA
Source: RNAcentral
UUGACGGGGCCCGCACAAGCGGCGGAGCAUGCGGAUUAAUUCGAUGCAACGCGAAGAACCUUACCAAGGCUUGACAUACACCGGUAACGCCCAGAGAUGGGUGCCCCUUUGUGGUCGGUGGUACAGGUGGUGCAUGGUUGUCGUCAGCUCGUGUCGUGAGAUGUUGGGUUAAGUCCCGCAACGAGCGCAACCCUCGUCCUAUGUUGCCAGCGGGUCAUGCCGGGGACUCAUGGGAGACUGCCGGGGUCAACUCGGAGGAAGGUGGGGAUGACGUCAAAUCAUCAUGCCCCUUAUGUCUUGGGCUUCACGCAUGCUACAAUGGCCGGUACAAAGGGCUGCGAUACCGCGAGGUGGAGCGAAUCCCAGAAAGCCGGUCUCAGUUCGGAUUGGGGUCUGCAACUCGACCCCAUGAAGUCGGAGUCGCUAGUAAUCGCAGAUCAGCAACGCUGCGGUGAAUACGUUCCCGGGCCUU